GGCUCAGUGGUCUAGUGGUAUGAUUCGCGCUUCGGGUGGUUAUCCCGCUGCUUGUCAACAGACUACAAAUGUGCGAGGUCUCGGGUUCGAUCCCCGACUGAGCCC
Molecule: non-coding RNA, 105 nt
Organism: Parathielavia hyrcaniae
Lineage: Eukaryota; Fungi; Ascomycota; Sordariomycetes; Sordariales; Chaetomiaceae
Source: the annotation of a GenBank genome assembly